Molecule: ribosomal RNA, 405 nt
Filed under: uncultured bacterium
Lineage: Bacteria
Description: partial 16S ribosomal RNA
Rfam family: Bacterial small subunit ribosomal RNA
Source: RNAcentral
GACGACGCUGGCGGCGUGCCUAAUACAUGCAAGUAGGACGAGUUGCGAACGGGAGAGUGAUGUCUGGGAGACUGCCUGAUGGAGGGGGAUUACUACUGGAAACGGUAGCUAAUACCGCAUACCAUCGGAUGUGCCCAGAUGGGUUUGGGUAGUAGGUGGGGUAAAGGCUCACCUAGGCGACGAUCCCUAGCUGGUCUGAGAGGAUGACCAGCCACACGGGAACUGAGACACGGUCCAGACUCCUACGGGAGGCAGCGGUGGGGAAUAUUGCACAAUGGGCGCAAGCCUGAUACAGCCAUGCCGCGUGUAUGAAGAAGGCCUUCGGGUUGUAAAGUACUUUCAGCGGGGAGGCGUUACCCGCAGAAGAAGCACCGGCUAACUCCGUGCCAGCAGCCGCGGUAAUUC